AUUGAACGCUGGCGGCAUGCUUUACACAUGCAAGUCGAACGGCAGCACGGGAGCUUGCUCCUGGUGGCGAGUGGCGAACGGGUGAGUAAUGCAUCGGAACGUACCCAGUAGUGGGGGAUAGCCCGGCGAAAGCCGGAUUAAUACCGCAUAUUUCCUGAGGGAGAAAGCGGGGGACCUUCGGGCCUCGCGCUACUGGAGCGGCUGAUGUCGGAUUAGCUAGUUGGUGAGGUAAAGGCUCACCAAGGCGACGAUCCAUAGCUGGUCUGAGAGAAUGAUCAGCCACACUAAAACUGAAACACGGCCCAGACUCCUACGGGAGGCAGCAGUAAGGAAUUUUGGACAAUGGGGGCAACCCUGAUCCAGCCAUGCCGCGUGAGUGAAGAAGGCCU
Molecule: ribosomal RNA, 389 nt
Filed under: uncultured bacterium
Lineage: Bacteria
Description: bacterial SSU rRNA
Rfam family: Bacterial small subunit ribosomal RNA
Source: RNAcentral